RNAcentral lists this ribosomal RNA (247 nucleotides) under uncultured bacterium. Its description in RNAcentral is "partial 16S ribosomal RNA". It matches the Rfam family "Bacterial small subunit ribosomal RNA", at positions 89 to 339 of the family's 1533-position model. The record is from RNAcentral.
CGGCGAGUGGCAAACGGGUGAGUAAUACAUCGGAACGUGCCCAGUAGUGGGGGACAACUUAGGGAAACUUAAGCUAAUACCGCAUACGCCCUAAGGGGGAAAGCGGGGGAUCUUCGGACCUCGCGCUAUUGGAAGAGCUUGCGUUAGAUUAGCUAGUUGGUGGGGUAAAGGCUCACCAAGGCGACGAUCUAUAGCUGGUCUGAGAGGAUGAUCAGCCACACUGGGACUGAGACACGGCCCAGACUCC